RNAcentral lists this long non-coding RNA (318 nucleotides) under Sinocyclocheilus grahami. RNAcentral describes it as "lncRNA (ENSSGRG00000050532.1)". The record is from RNAcentral. Lineage: Eukaryota; Metazoa; Chordata; Actinopteri; Cypriniformes; Cyprinidae.
CAUUCACACAGACGUCGCGCGAAAGGCGGGGCUUAGCGUUUGAUUGGCAUUGUGUGUGUCCGAAUAGUUAGCCACGGGACCCACGAAUACUGAAAGCUUUGAAUAUCUGACCGGGACGACUCGGGACAACCUAGAUUUGGCACUUGGCUGGAGCAGUGGAUGAGAAGUUUGUAGCAGAUCGGGGAGGGAGUGGGAACAGCAUCGGCCACAAAUCAUUUGACCAUUGAAGAUUUUGUCACUUUGAAAGCCCAGACACGACAGCAUGGACUUGCAGUAUGUUUAUGAGCAGGAUUGGGACAAAGAGAGUGAGACUUCCAG